UACCGAGGUGGCAAGCGUUGUUCGGAAUUACUGGGCGUAAAGGGCGCGUAGGCGGCUUUUUAAGUCAGACGUGAAAUCCCCCGGCUUAACCUGGGAACUGCGUCUGAUACUGGGAAGCUUGAGUUCGGGAGAGGGAUGUAGAAUUCCAGGUGUAGCGGUGAAAUGCGUAGAUAUCUGGAGGAAUACCGGUGGCGAAGGCGGCAUCCUGGACCGAAACUGACGCUGAGGCGCGAAAGCUAGGGGAGCAAACGGG
Molecule: ribosomal RNA, 253 nt
Filed under: uncultured bacterium
Lineage: Bacteria
Description: partial 16S ribosomal RNA
Rfam family: Bacterial small subunit ribosomal RNA
Source: RNAcentral